UAUACGGAGGGUGCAAGCGUUACUCGGAAUCACUGGGCGUAAAGGGCGCGUAGGCGGAUUAUCAAGUCUCUUGUGAAAUCUAAUGGCUUAACCAUUAAACUGCUUGGGAAACUGAUAGUCUAGAGUGAGGGAGAGGCAGAUGGAAUUGGUGGUGUAGGGGUAAAAUCCGUAGAUAUCACCAAGAAUACCCAUUGCGAAGGCGAUCUGCUGGAACUCAACUGACGCUAAGGCGCGAAAGCGUGGGGAGCAAACAGGAUUAGAUACCCUGGUAGUCCACGCCCUAAACGAUGUACACUAGUUGUUGGGAUGCUAGUCAUCUCAGUAAUGCAGCUAACGCAUUAAGUGUACCGCCUGGGGAGUACGGUCGCAAGAUUAAAACUCAAAGGAAUAGACGGGGACCCGCACAAGCGGUGGAGCAUGUGGUUUAAUUCGAAGAUACGCGAAGAACCUUACCUGGGCUUGAUAUCCUAAGAACCUUUUAGAGAUAAGAGGGUGCUAGCUUGCUAGAACUUAGAGACAGGUGCUGCACGGCUGUCGUCAGCUCGUGUCGUGAGAUGUUGGGUUAAGUCCCGCAACGAGCGCAACCCACGUAUUUAGUUGCUAACGGUUCGGCCGAGCACUCUAAAUAGACUGCCUUCGUAAGGAGGAGGAAGGUGUGGACGACGUCAAGUCAUCAUGGCCCUUAUGCCCAGGGCGACACACGUGCUACAAUGGCAUAUACAAUGAGACGCAAUACCGCGAGGUGGAGCAAAUCUAUAAAAUAUGUCCCAGUUCGGAUUGUUCUCUGCAACUCGAGAGCAUGAAGCCGGAAUCGCUAGU
RNAcentral lists this ribosomal RNA (819 nucleotides) under uncultured Campylobacter sp. Its description in RNAcentral is "bacterial SSU rRNA". It matches the Rfam family "Bacterial small subunit ribosomal RNA", at positions 522 to 1339 of the family's 1533-position model. The record is from RNAcentral. Lineage: Bacteria; Pseudomonadati; Campylobacterota; Epsilonproteobacteria; Campylobacterales; Campylobacteraceae.